GGCAGCAGUGAGGAAUAUUGGCAAUGGAGGCAACUCUGACCCAGCCAUGCCGCGUGCAGGAAGACUGCCCUAUGGGUKUGUAAACUGCUUUUAUACAGGAAGAAACUUAUCCACGUGUGGAUAACUGACGGUACUGUAAGAAUAAGGACCGGCUAACUCCGUGCCAGCAGCCGCGGUAAUACGGAGGGUCCAAGCGUUAUCCGGAAUCAUUGGGUUUAAAGGGUCCGUAGCGGGCAAUUAAGUCAGAGGUGAAAUCCCACAGCUCAACUGUGGAACUGCCUUUGAUACUGGUUGUCUUGAGUUAUAGUGAAGUAGAUAGAAUAUGUAGUGUAGCGGUGAAAUGCAUAGAUAUUACAUAGAAUACCGAUUGCGAAGGCAGUCUACUAACUGUAUACUGACGCUAAUGGACGAAAGCGUGGGGAGCGAACAGGAUUAGAUACCCUGGUAGUCCACGCCGUAAACGAUGGUCACUAGUUGUUGGGGUCUUGUACCUCAGUGAUUAA
Molecule: ribosomal RNA, 503 nt
Filed under: uncultured Bacteroidota bacterium
Lineage: Bacteria; Pseudomonadati; Bacteroidota
Description: bacterial SSU rRNA
Rfam family: Bacterial small subunit ribosomal RNA
Source: RNAcentral